RNAcentral lists this ribosomal RNA (314 nucleotides) under uncultured bacterium. Its description in RNAcentral is "bacterial SSU rRNA". It matches the Rfam family "Bacterial small subunit ribosomal RNA", at positions 32 to 327 of the family's 1533-position model. The record is from RNAcentral.
AAUCAACGCUGGCGGCGUGCCUCAGACAUGCAAGUCGAACGCGAAAGGCUCCUUCGGGGGCCGAGUAGAGUGGCGCACGGGUGAGUAACACGUAGGUAAUUUGCCUUUGGGUGGGAAUAACUCAGGGAAACUUGAGCUAAUACCGCAUAAUGCAGCGGCUCGACAUCGAGACAGUUGUUAAGCGGGGAGUCGCAAGACCUCGCGCCUGAAGAGAAGCCUGCGGCAGAUUAGCUAGUUGGUAGGGUAAUGGCCUACCAAGGCGACGAUCUGUAACCGGCCUGAGAGGGCGGUCGGUCACACUGACACUGACAUAC